GGCGCCAAGGGUCGAGGUGUUCAUUUAUUAGAGUGGAUCGUGAGCUGAGUUUAGACCGUCGUGAGACAGGUUAGUUUUA
This 79-nucleotide ribosomal RNA is filed under the name Gambierdiscus australes. RNAcentral describes it as "partial Eukaryotic large subunit ribosomal RNA". It matches the Rfam family "Eukaryotic large subunit ribosomal RNA", at positions 2913 to 2991 of the family's 3401-position model. The record is from RNAcentral. Lineage: Eukaryota; Dinophyceae; Gonyaulacales; Pyrocystaceae.